This 1035-nucleotide long non-coding RNA is filed under the name Crocodylus porosus (Australian saltwater crocodile). Its description in RNAcentral is "lncRNA (ENSCPRG00005001740.1)". The record is from RNAcentral. Lineage: Eukaryota; Metazoa; Chordata; Crocodylia; Crocodylidae.
CCCUGCCCUACAGUCCAAGGCAAGAGACAACGGAUGGAGCCAGCCAGGGGCAUACUAGUGUUGGACAACGGGACAGGCAGGGGCCGGAGGGUGAGAACUGGCAGCCGCUCCUAAAAGCACUCGCAGGAUUAACCAGACUACAACACGAAGCGUUUCCUAAAGGCAUUUCUCAAAGGAGAUUUGCCCCGGCUGGGUGUGUGGCAGGGGAGCGGUAGCAGAGUGCCGCAGCUCGAGAGGGGUGAGUCUGAGCUCUUUUCUGGGUUGGCUUGAGGCAUCGAGGCAACGGUGAGCGAGUCACGCUUGCCCUUUCAGGUCCCAGUGUCGUUCGAGAACGUCUCAUCUCCUUCGCCGGGGGCAGCGGGAGAUGCUGGCGGAAUGGCAGAGGGAGCUGUACUGGGAUGUGCUGGUGCAGAGCUACGAGACGCUGGUGUCGCUGGGUUGUGAUGCACCGAAACCCAAGAUCCUGCUGCUGAUGGAAGAAAAAGGAAAGCCGUAUGCAGAGUACGCUGCUGAUCGAGAUGGCAGAGAUCUUGAUUGUGCGUCUGCAGCGGCCGAACGCCUUCGCAGGAGCAGAAAGCUGAAGCUAGAGGACCACGAACUUGAGAUCCGAGUCCGUGAGAAUCGGUAUCUCUCAGCAAAGGAUCGGCGUCUUUGGCGGGGCUCGGGGCGCCGCGCCGUGUGUUUAGAGGCUCGGGUGCACUCAGCCUCUCAUCCUGCCCUCGGAGAGGCUCAUGGUGAUGAGCCUGCUGCUGUCGGCAAGUGCCAGACCAAGCCCUGCGGAGAAAUGGAGGUGCCCGUCGACUCUUCUCCUCCACGCGACGGUAGUUUACGGCGGCAGGUACAGGUGAACUGCUACCUGUGCCCCGUGAAGGAGGAAGCUGAGGACGGCGGCUAUGGAGCGGGCCCCGGGGACUCCAAGGAAGAGCCGGAGUCUCCGCUGGGCUCUGAAGGCUGCUGCCCGCGGCUGGGUGCCGCCGGCAGCCCGCGGAGCCGUGGCGGAGCGGGUCUGUGCCGGGCUGACGAGGACCCGAGCGC